RNAcentral lists this long non-coding RNA (1359 nucleotides) under Equus asinus (donkey). RNAcentral describes it as "lncRNA (ENSEASG00005036967.1)". The record is from RNAcentral. Lineage: Eukaryota; Metazoa; Chordata; Mammalia; Perissodactyla; Equidae.
CCGGGGCUGGGGUCUGGGUGGGGCAAAAAGGCGUCGCACUCCUCCCAGGGGGCGCCAGAGCGCGCUAAAGAUCACGCCCACGUGCAAAGAUGCUCGGCGGGAGGCUGGCCUCCAAGCGUUCCGGCCGGAUCCUCCCAGCUGCGGAGGCCCGGGGCCUCGUACUGCCUCCACCUCCACCUGCACUCUGAGCCCAAGUCUUUCCUCCGCAUCCCCGGGAUUUCAGACCUGCCUUCCUGCCUCUCCCAGGUUCCCACCCUAGGCGAUUGGGGCUGUGUUGGGCUCACGUCCCGCCGCCUUUCUCCGUGCGUCGAGUUCGUUCGCCCCGGCCUCGCCGCGUACCACAGAGAGACUCUGGAACCCCCUCCUAGGCACAAACCAGGCACUGUCGUCAGGCCAGCACCCCGCUUCGCCGGGUGGGGGGAUUAAGAGAAUUUCCUGGCCGAAGCCGAGGUCCCCACUACUCCAAAUUCGACGUCUCUCUCUAAAUCAAACCUCACCUUCCCGCUCCCUGUCUCCCACCCACUGUCCAGACCAAGCCCGGCAGUCCCCCUCUCUACCCCACACCUACUGGCCCUCCGCACUCCACCAGGGGAGCCCAACAGAAGGCGCAGGGUUAAGGUCUCCUCUCUCAGCAUAAGCCCAGGCCGACACGCACCUGAAGGGCCGGGGAGGUGCCUGGGAUAGGGGUGGGGUCGCGUUUGGAAAAUGGUCAGGGCCCCCAGCCCCAGCCUCUCCUCUCUGUCGGGGAGGACCGACUUUGCCUGGCAGUGGUCUGGCUGCCCGGCACCUCGCGGCUCCCCGCCUGAGCCGGGCCCCAGGCUGCCCCUGCCCCCAGCCCGCUCCAGGCCCUAUAUAUAGCGCGGGUCUCCAUAGUCCUCGGCUGGACCCUGACGUCAGGAAGAACUUGAUCUUGCCUGCUUCGCUCCUGCUUCUGAAACUGAUCCUUGAAAUGAGAGAACAGACUCUACACAAUUCCCAUGGCCUUGACAUAAGCAUGCUCUUAGCUGAGGACUGCCUCCUGCCCCCUUCCCAGCGUGGAGGUUUUGGAUGCAAUAGCCACCACUAUCUGCCAGCGGAGUUUCUGAACAUCAUGCAAGAGGCUGCUAACCACAGACACAGAGGGAAGACAGAGAGAAGGGGGCCUUCUACAAGCCAAGGAAAGAGGCCUGGAGAGGAUCCUUCCUUCCCGACCCUCAGAAGGAACCAUUCCUGUUGACACCUUGAUCUUGGACUUCUAGCCUCCAGAACUAUGAGAAAAUAAAUUUCUGAUGUUUAAACCAGCCACAAUGUGAUCCUUAGCAGCCAUAGCCAACUAGUACCAACUAUCGACUCAAGGGCGAUCUUGUUCCACCUAAACCC